CUCCUCCCGGCCCUCCCACAUGCUGAGCCUCCUGCCGGAGACGCUCUCCCUUUCCUCUCACUUCUUCCAGAAGGCCUCCUCUGACCCUGCAGAUCACGGCGCUGUUUCCUUUCUGUCCACUGGGUGCCCUGUGAUUGUCUACCUCACUUCCUGCCUCUGCCCCUGAUUUGAUGGCGAAACAGGUUCUCGUCGUGUGACACCACCACCACACCAUCCCGGGUCAGCCGGCAGUCAAGCUCCAGAAAGUCGGAUCGCUGGGCCACGGAGCUAUGGGAGUGAAGGCUCAUUCUUCCUUGGAAUGCUUUUGUUGGCCAGGACCUUUUUUGGCUGUCUGGGAAACACCCACAUUUAGGAUAUUCUUUACCAGGUGAGGGAAUAUCCCUCUGCCCAGGCAGUAGGACAUGGUGAAGCUGCAGUUCUCCGGGUCUGUCUGACUCCAUCAUGCUCCACA
Non-coding RNA from Callorhinus ursinus (northern fur seal), 451 nucleotides. Lineage: Eukaryota; Metazoa; Chordata; Mammalia; Carnivora; Otariidae. The record is from RefSeq and is a predicted model, not a curated record.